UCCUACGGGAGGCAGCAGUGGUGAAUAUUGCACAAUGGGCGCAAGCCUGAUGCAGCGACGCCGCGUGAGGGAUGACGGCCUUCGGGUUGUAAACCUCUUUCAGUAGGGAAGAAGCGAAAGUGACGGUACCUGCAGAAGAAGCGCCGGCUAACUACGUGCCAGCAGCCGCGGUAAUACGUAGGGCGCAAGCGUUAUCCGGAAUUAUUGGGCGUAAAGAGCUCGUAGGCGGUUUGUCGCGUCUGCCGUGAAAGUCCGGGGCUCAACUCCGGAUCUGCGGUGGGUACGGGCAGACUAGAGUGAUGUAGGGGAGACUGGAAUUCCUGGUGUAGCGGUGAAAUGCGCAGAUAUCAGGAGGAACACCGAUGGCGAAGGCAGGUCUCUGGGCAUUAACUGACGCUGAGGAGCGAAAGCAUGGGGAGCGAACAGGAUUAGAUACCCUGGUAGUCCAUGCCGUAAACGUUGGGCACUAGGUGUGGGGGACAUUCCACGUUUUCCGCGCCGUAGCUAACGCAUUAAGUGCCCCGCCUGGGGAGUACGGCCGCAAGGCUAAAACUCAAAGGAAUUGACGGGGGCCCGCACAAGCGGCGGAGCAUGCGGAUUAAUUCGAUGCAACGCGAAGAACCUUACCAAGGCUUGACAUGGACUGGAAAUACCUGGAAACAGGUGCCCCGCUUGCGGUCGGUUCACAGGUGGUGCAUGGUUGUCGUCAGCUCGUGUCGUGAGAUGUUGGGUUAAGUCCCGCAACGAGCGCAACCCUCGUUCUAUGUUGCCAGCGCGUAAUGGCGGGGACUCAUAGGAGACUGCCGGGGUCAACUCGGAGGAAGGUGGGGACGACGUCAAAUCAUCAUGCCCCUUAUGUCUUGGGCUUCACGCAUGCUACAAUGGCCGGUACAAAGGGUUGCGAUACUGUGAGGUGGAGCUAAUCCCAAAAAGCCGGUCUCAGUUCGGAUUGGGGUCUGCAACUCUACCCCAUGAAGUCGGAGUCGCUAGUAAUCGCAGAUCAGCACCGCUGCGGUGAAUACGUUCCCGGGCCUUGUACACACCG
This 1045-nucleotide ribosomal RNA is filed under the name uncultured Arthrobacter sp. RNAcentral describes it as "bacterial SSU rRNA". It matches the Rfam family "Bacterial small subunit ribosomal RNA", at positions 337 to 1392 of the family's 1533-position model. The record is from RNAcentral. Lineage: Bacteria; Bacillati; Actinomycetota; Actinomycetes; Micrococcales; Micrococcaceae.